GGGUUGUGAGGUUAAGCGACUAAGCGUACACGGUGGAUGCCCUGGCAGUCAGAGGCGAUGAAGGACGUGCUAAUCUGCGAUAAGCGCCGGUAAGGUGAUAUGAACCGUUAUAACCGGCGAUUUCCGAAUGGGGAAACCCAGUGUGAUUCGUCACACUAUCAUUAACUGAAUCCAUAGGUUAAUGAGGCGAACCGGGGGAACUGAAACAUCUAAGUACCCCGAGGAAAAGAAAUCAACCGAGAUUCCCCCAGUAGCGGCGAGCGAACGGGGAGGAGCCCAGAGCCUGAAUCAGCAUGUGUGUUAGUGGAAGCGUCUGGAAAGGCGCGCGAUACAGGGUGACAGCCCCGUACACAAAAAUGCACAUGCUGUGAGCUCGAUGAGUAGGGCGGGACACGUGGUAUCCUGUCUGAAUAUGGGGGGACCAUCCUCCAAGGCUAAAUACUCCUGACUGACCGAUAGUGAACCAGUACCGUGAGGGAAAGGCGAAAAGAACCCCGGCGAGGGGAGUGAAAAAGAACCUGAAACCGUGUACGUACAAGCAGUGGGAGCACCCUUUGGGGUGUGACUGCGUACCUUUUGUAUAAUGGGUCAGCGACUUAUAUUCUGUAGCAAGGUUAACCGUAUAGGGGAGCCGGAGGGAAACCGAGUCUUAACCGGGCGUUAAGUUGCAGGGUAUAGACCCGAAACCCGGUGAUCUAGCCAUGGGCAGGUUGAAGGUUGGGUAACACUAACUGGAGGACCGAACCGACUAAUGUUGAAAAAUUAGCGGAUGACCUGUGGCUGGGGGUGAAAGGCCAAUCAAACCGGGAGAUAGCUGGUUCUCCCCG
RNAcentral lists this ribosomal RNA (827 nucleotides) under Salmonella enterica subsp. enterica serovar Albany. RNAcentral describes it as "partial 23S ribosomal RNA". It matches the Rfam family "Bacterial large subunit ribosomal RNA", at positions 1 to 861 of the family's 2925-position model. Lineage: Bacteria; Pseudomonadati; Pseudomonadota; Gammaproteobacteria; Enterobacterales; Enterobacteriaceae. The record is from RNAcentral.